UACAGAGGUCUCAAGCGUUGUUCGGAUUCAUUGGGCGUAAAGGGUGCGUAGGCGGCGCGGUAAGUCGGGUGUGAAAUCUUGGAGCUUAACUCCGAAACUGCAUUCGAUACUGCCGUGCUCGAGGACUGGAGAGGAGACUGGAAUUUACGGUGUAGCGGUGAAAUGCGUAGAGAUGGGGGAGAACACUCGUGGCGAAGGCGGCCAGCUAGACCAGUUCUGACACUGAGGCGCGACAGCGUGGGGAGCAAACAGG
This 253-nucleotide ribosomal RNA is filed under the name uncultured bacterium. RNAcentral describes it as "partial 16S ribosomal RNA". It matches the Rfam family "Bacterial small subunit ribosomal RNA", at positions 524 to 776 of the family's 1533-position model. The record is from RNAcentral.